UCCUACGGGAGGCAGCAGUGGGGAAUAUUGCACAAUGGGGGAAACCCUGAUGCAGCCAUGCCGCGUGUGUGAAGAAGGCCUUCGGGUUGUAAAGCACUUUCAGUAGGGAGGAAAGGUUGUAAGUUAAUACCUUGCAGCUGUGACGUUACCUACAGAAGAAGGACCGGCUAACUCCGUGCCAGCAGCCGCGGUAAU
Molecule: ribosomal RNA, 195 nt
Filed under: uncultured Shewanella sp.
Lineage: Bacteria; Pseudomonadati; Pseudomonadota; Gammaproteobacteria; Alteromonadales; Shewanellaceae
Description: partial 16S rRNA
Rfam family: Bacterial small subunit ribosomal RNA
Source: RNAcentral